This 12750-nucleotide long non-coding RNA is filed under the name Cucumis sativus (cucumber). RNAcentral describes it as "long non-coding RNA (CSAT_LNC000159)". The record is from RNAcentral. Lineage: Eukaryota; Viridiplantae; Streptophyta; Magnoliopsida; Cucurbitales; Cucurbitaceae.
UUUUUUUUUUUUUUUUUUUUUUCUGUCAUGGUUUGCAAGAGGGAUUAAAGGGUCGAAUUAUUUUUUAAAAAUAAAAAAAACGUAAGAAUGAAGGAAAACAUUGAUUUUUUAUUAGAGUAAUUUUAAUAACACAUAAUUUAUGUCGUUAAUUAACGAUGAGAAAAUUGUGUAAACUCAAUUCGUGUCAAGAAAAUUCUAUUAAUAAAACUCAAUUCGUGUCAAGAAAAUCGUGUCACGAAAAAUUUCACACUUUUAUUUUUAAAAACACAUUUUAUUCUGUCCCACUCAUUUUUCUUGAUUUCAAGAGUCAUUAAAACUCAUAUUUUUAAAUAAAUUUAUUGGAUGACCGUGGCAAGAUUGGUGGGUUUAACCGCUAAGUUAAGGCUUGAUAUGACAUCAACGACAAUAGUGGGUAGAGUGUAAGAUCGACAGCAAUAGGUGGUGGUAGAAAAUUGGAAGGCAAAGGUUCUUCACAACAAUGCAGUAUCCCACUUUAUUCGACGAAUUUUUUUCUGCAAUUUUGGUAAAGAAAAAAAAUUAGGUUAAGGCUUCAUUGGAUGAUGGCAUUUAAAAGAAAAUUUGAGGUUCUUAAUUAGUUUUAAUGGUGUGAAAGGAGGGAAAUUCAAAUAUUUUAAAAUUUAGAGUUUUUUCAUUAAUUUUUUUUAAUGACACAAAAUUUAUGUUAAUUAAUGAUGCAAAAAUGGUGUCAAAACAAAUUAAAUUGGACACAAUUUACCUCAUCCCAUCUUUUUUUUUAUUUUCAAGGACACAAUGUCUAUUUUGAUUGGUAGUGACAUUCAAAACCAAAUUUAAUUUAUAGUAAUGCGUUGAUCAGCACUACCACAAUUAUGGCUUCAUAUGAUAGUGUCUUAAACUUCAAACGCAAAUAUACAGAUAUUUUUUCUUUUAUGUAAAAAAUUUGACAUCAACACUUACAGACAUGAGCAUAACAAAAUUAAACAGUAAAAGUCGAUUUUAAAAACCAAGAGAUAAUGAGAUAUUACUUUAAAAGAAAACAAAAAAAAGCAAAUGAUAAAUUCGACAUUAUAAUGUCAGAAAUGAGAAUUAAAUAUUUUCCCAACAAAAGCUAAGAUACAGCCUCCUUAAAUGUAGUAUCCACCCCAAGAAAUACAGUUAACUAUUUCUCAAAAGUGUAUAUAGAUUUGACUUACCUUCAUAUAAGGAGAAAAAACAAGGAAGACCGAGAGUUAACAAGUGGUUAUGUGGGGGAUUCAAUCGAACAAAAUGUGUGGAAAUCUUGUCCCAAAUACACUUCUUUCUUUAUUUACAAACCGGAAAUAGUAACCAUUAACAAUAUGCCUCACAAGAGUCCAUAUCAUAAAAUAACCAUCAAUUCCACAAACUACACAUGUUACCUACUUCAUACAGUGUGUACCCCACCUGUACAAGAUGUGAAAUUAUGUAAAGUUGUUUCAUUCAACCUAAAAACUCAGAGGAGCUGCGAGAAUCUCUUUCAACUGUCGUGUCAGUGUACAUCGAGAUGUAGCCAUCCACCAUAUUUAUACCUUUUCUACCACAAAAUGAUGGGUGAAUGUGUAGUACAAUAUAGCACCCCAUCAUCAACUCUCAGUUCUAACCAUGAAGGAAUUCACAAAUUGAACUUUGUGGUAGAAAUUAAGGCCCCGUGGUUAGAAAAGAAUUUCCUUUUUCGUUCUUCCUUUUCAAGAAGUAAAACUUUGUGAGGCUAAGUAAAUUGCAAACUCUGUUUCAAAAUUUUUAGGGGAAAAAAAGAAAAAAAGUACCGAUUUCCACUCCCGCAGUUGUUCAUCUUUUUUUUUUUUUUUUUUGCCUAUAACACCAGUUUGAACCCUUCUGACAAGAAAUCGUCCCUAAAAAAAAAAAAAAUCGAAUUCAUGCUUCACAUCACCUUUCAAUAAAAUUUAUCACAAGUAACUAAUUGAACAUGCACAGACAAACAUUUGUACAACAAUAAAGAACAUCAAGAGGCAAAUUGAAGUACAUAUCUGAAAAUGUAAAAACAUAAAUGCUUUCAAACAAAGGAUAUGAUAAUAACCUCUCCUCUUCGAGGACCUUUAUAGGAUUUUCCCUGUAAGCAUCAACUGAAAUAAGGCUUUCCACUAAUGUUUCAGCAUCGAAGCUAUGAGGCAGCCCAUCAAUCACGGCAUCAUGAACUGUCUGAGUAUCAAGAUCAUACCAUAUAAGCUUUCUACGAUUGUGAAGUAGAAGAACUUUACAGCCAGUCUUGGAAUAAGUCAAAGGUUUCACAGACUUAAUGGAACCAACAAAAUCAACUUGAGAAACAGUCAGUAAUUUCAUCCAUGAUUCCUGAACUCCAUACUCCUUCAUAACCCAAACCUCAAAGCGAACUCGAUCAUAAUUUGCAAUCAAACAGAGACACCCACCUAAAACAUCCACAUGAAUUUCACAUUUGAAAUCAGUAAGCUCUGGCAAUGGAAUCUCUUCGAAUCUACCGGUUCCAAGAUCAAAAGCCACCACUAAGUCAGCUAACCCCAUGCCCAGAUUCUCAGACACAACCCAAUGUAAAGCAUUAUUGACAAAAACCCCCAUUGUCGAGCUAUACCGCAGAAUGUAACUCGUACUUUCAAUCGGCAUCCAACAAAAUUUUCUCAAACUAAAAACCUUAACAUGCGAAUCAAAAUCCAUAGGGUCAUCCAAUCCUAUAAAUUGCGAAAUUUUCAAGAGUUUAAAGUCAUCGUGGACAGAAUCAAACCCGAAACCGUAAGACUCAUUGAAGAUACGAAGAACACCAUCACGGCGACGCUCCGGAGGCAGAGAUGGCAAUAUACGGUGCUUCCUCGUGGACGGAUUCCAGAGGGCGAUGUCUUCAGCAACAUUACAGAUGCACAAAAUGCCAUUACAAGAGCCCCAAAUAUUAAUUCGACUGCCGUAACACAUCAGAGGGUGAAUAAGCUCGACGGCAGGGUCAAAUAGAUCGAGAUUGACGGUGAAGAGAUCAGAAUUCUUACGGAUAAUAAGAUGGAAAUGAGUUUGAGACUCGAUUGAUUUCUUCAUAUGAAGAUUGACGAAAUUAGAGCAAUCGAUGAGGUACUUCCAUAUCUUUGAGACUCUCCUGAAGCGCAAGAUAGCUUUCGCCGGUAAUCGACAGAUGAUAUCGGCGAUAAGGUCGAGAGGUACGUCUGCCAUGGGAUAUGAGAGCAUCUUUUUACUCCAUGGAUUAGGGUUCUUCAAUGGUUCUAUAAAACCAGCUCGCUACCGUUAAUUGCUCAUUUGGUUGGUUCGGUAUUCCUUUUACCACUUUCUUUUUUCUACUUCCACUUCUUAGUUGUAAUAUUUACCAAACUCAACCAUACAAUUCAUUUCAAUUUUUUUUAACUCUCUUUCCAGUUGAUUGAAGAACAAACCUCAAUUGAAUAAGAAUCUUGAUUGGAAGGUAAGUCCCAACCUUCAAGUACUAAACAAAUAUUUAAGUAAUUUCGAUCCCACGAGUAUGAAGACAAGAGAUUAAAUGAAUGAAUUUAAUAAUUUGAUGUCUCACUUAUCUAACAACAAUUAUUAAAGAGUACCAAUCUCGGGGAGCGUCAUUCUUCGAUAUUGUACUCAUUUGAAUCUUGGUUAAUAAAUUUCUUUAUCUGAGCAUUAAAGCUCUCAGGAACUAGGUGAUAUUCACCGAACUUGAUUAUCAAAGUUAUUGUGUUCAUUUUUCUCCAUGUUCCCUUAGUUAACAACCUAGCUUUUUAACUAAAGUAACAACUUAAAAGUAAAAUAAUCUAUUUUACACUUUCAAUUGGUAUCAUAACAAGGUUUCACAAAAUGGAUCUUAUUAAAGAAGGAGGAUCUACUACCCGGUCAUCAGUUUUAGACGACACAAAUUAUGCUUAUUAAGAGGCAUGUAUGGCUGCAUUUCUUAAAUUCAUUGAUAGCAAAACAUGGAAUGUCGUGGUUACUGGGUGGGAACCUUUCAGUGUAACUACCGAUGAAAAAACAACUCUCCAACCAGAAAUAAAAUGGAGAAGUAUUGAAGAUCAAGUUUCUCUCGAAAAUUCUCGUACAUUGAAUGCUAUUUUCAAUGGUGUUGAUCAAAAUUAACAUGUUUAAAUUAUAAAUACAUUGGCAAAAGAAGCAUGAAAGAUUCUUGAAGUAAAAAAGUAAUUGUUUUCAAGAUUUUGAUUGUCAUCAUUUUGGUGCAUUGUCGUUGUACUUCAAUUUUUCAACUCGUAUGCUAUACGCAAUUCAUCCACAUAUAAUUUUUCUUUUUUUAUGAUUCACUCAAGUGUAUUUUUCUCUUCUUCCCAACUUCUUUUCUUCGUUCUUUUGUGAUGUUUUGCAAUUUAUUGUGGAAAUAUUUAUCUGCAAUUUCGUAGAGUUAAUGUUAUACAUUUGUUGUACUUAUUUAUUUUUUCUAGUUUAUUGUACUUUAUCACGAAUAUUAACACCAAUAUGUAACGUUUUAUUUUUAUUCUACUCAAUGUUGUCUUUCUGAUUUACUUCAAGAUUUCAAUAUGAAAAAGAUAAAUAAGUAAAAGGUAUGUGAAGAGUUGGAAAAUAUGAGAGAGAUUUAAGUUUUGGAGAAGAAAAUAACAAAAUUUGUUUUAAUUGGAUUUAUUUGAUUCAAAUAUAUUGAUUAUGUUUCUUGGUUGGCAUAAAAGAUUUAUAAAAUAAAUUAGCAAGAUUUAUUGGUUAUUAUCAAUUUAAUUAAUAUGAUGAAUAAUUUAAAGCCUAACCAUCAAAGUAUAGAAGUGACAUCAUUGUUUCGUUAAAGAGUUAACGUAAGUCCAACGACAUGGACCAAAGUAGUUUUUUUUUUUUCAAAAGUUAAGUAAUUAAUUAUUAAAUAUCAAAUAUUUUUUUUAUACAAAUGGAAGGUGGGGGAAUUUGAAUCCAACACCUCUUAUCUUCACGUAUGUAUAGUUUUAAUAUGAAUCUUAUUCAAAUAUUUAUCUUCGUCAUAUUAUAGUGUAUAAUUUUGAAUCUUAUUCAAAAUUAACUUUGAAUUAUAAUAUAGAACUAUUUUCAAAUUAUCACAGCCUAUUUAUGAUGGACUACGAUAGAUUAUGACAAAGAGCUAUUCGUAUUUAUUUGUUUCAUGAUAUACACAUAUACUAUUUUAUCGUUGUCUAUCACAAAUAAAUUGUGAUAUUUUACUAUAAAUUAUAAGUAUUUCAUAAGAUUUGUCAUUUAAAAUAAAUUGAAGUUCUCCAUAAGAAUUUUUUUUUUUUAAAAAAAAAAAAUUGACAAACUAUUUAUACACAUCAUAGACUAAAUAAUAAGACCAAUAAAAGAUAAAAUUUAUUACACUUGAUUUUUCUACGAAGAGUAAAUAUUUUGUCAAAAGUAAUAUUUUUGACAAUUUUCUUUAUAUUAUUUAAUUUGAAUUGUAUUCAAAUAUUAUUUCAUAUAUAUAAUAUUAAUUAUAAAUCAUAUUUAUAAUUAACUAUGCAUAAUACAUAUAUACCCAUUAUAUUAUAUUAAUUACAUCUUAUACAAGUAAUUUCCUUAUUUAAUUUAAACAAUUCAAAUUUAAUUGAUUCUUAUGUUUACCCUUAGUGAGCUAGCAAAUGGGUUCUCAUGAACUACUGACCAAAACUUUAAUUAUACAAAAUUAAUUAAUUAAAUUAAUCAACGUUCGUUUACUACAAACCACUCCACUAAGACAACUGCACUAUUAGCACUAUAGAUAUAUUUUGUGUCUAUGGAUACAAUAACCAAUCAACAGUAAAUCAAACCCUUCAUAAAUCGUUCAUAAUUACAGUUGGGUCAAACUAUCAUUAGAAAUAAUGUCCAUGGGACAGGCUGGAUCGAGGAUGCCACUGCAUGUUCUUGUUCCCACUCCUAUAUUAUUUUCCAUCUUCGUUAAUUUCCCCAUAAGGUACAAGGCAGGGACUCCUUACAAGGAAACAUAUUUCGUCGUUUUUUUAAAUAUUUUUAAUUUUAAUCAAUAUUUUUUUGGAAGAUAUAAGUGUUGGGGUUAUUGCCCUAAAUCUUGUGGUCUUGUAGUUUGUAAUGGUAUUAUACAAGCAUUUUAUUUAUCUAAUAAACAAAAGUAUUUUAUUUUAUUUGACAUUUAGUUGCAUUAACCCACACAACCAAUAAACUAACAUCCAAGGUUAUUUCUUAUGUAACCUAAAUAGGUGUGGAGACAUACAUGCAGAUAAUGUUUAAGUGAUAACCCUACAUGGUCUAAGAGGAGUUCAGUUAUAGUGGGGCUAUAACUUAUUGUUCAUUAUAGAAAUCAGUGGUACUUGAGGAGUUCGAUGUAACUACAAGCGUAAAAUGGCCUAGCUGUACUUACGGGCAAUUUCUGAAAGGUCAUUGCUGAAGGGAUAACAACAGAUGAUUUUACAGAACCAUUCUUCAAUUUAAUAUAGGAAUCCUAAAAUACCAGAACAUUAACAAUAUUUAGAAUCAAAAUUAUAAAUAAAUAAAAAACUAAGCAUGUUUUUAAAAUUAAAAUAUACAGAGAACUUACUCUUGGUGACGUCUCUAAAUCUACCAUCCAUCGAAUUGGGGAUACUGCCGGUAGGAAUCCUUUCUAUCCUUUAGGAUGAGAUGUGUUUGUGGGAACCAAUUAGAAUGGAAAAACGUUUAGAGAGAAACUAUUUUGCAUAAAAGCAAAAUCAUUAGUUCCAUUUAUAUUUAAGAAAAAUUGUUUUUCUUCUACAUAUUUAUAACUCUUUCCUUGAUGGAAUAGGAGAGAAUCAUGAGAUUUUAUUAAGGGUUUUUGCAAAAAAUAGCAAAAUAAUUAUGAUAAUAGGGCUCAUGUCACUACAUUUUCUAAAUUGUAAAAGUAGCAAAUUUAAAAGCCGAUAGUCCUAUGAUUACCAUCUAAUAACCUUCUAAUAGCAAUAUGAUUAUCGUCUGAUAGCCGUCUAAUAUCACUAAUUUUGUCAUAUUUACAAUAUGCAAAAACUACGUGUCAUGAGCUCUUUUUUUCUAAAUGUUUUUGUCAUUUAAUGCAAUUUUCCUUUUAUUAAUUAAAAAAUAUUAAAUUAAUAAAAACUUUAAAUAAACUAAUUAAUUAAUCAAUUAAUCAAUUAAUCAAUAAUUAAAAAUUUCUCUUAAUCUAAAUCUUAUUUAAUUAAUAUUUCAUUUAAAUCUCAUUUAAUGAAUAUCUUUUUAAUAUCUUAUAGUUUUAAAUUAAUUUAAUAAAAUCAAAUUAAACUAAAUUAAAUAUUUUAUAUUUAAGUUAAGUUAAAUUUGAAUCAUAUUUAAAAAUAAAUCUCUCACAACCAAUAAUUUUAAUAUGAAUCUAAUUCACGUUAAAUUAAUAUUUAAACUCGUUCAAAUAUUUUAUCUCUUAUAAAUUAAUUUUGAAUCAUAUCCAAAACUAAAUUUAUACAAUAAAAUUUGAUUAACAUAUAAAUUUUAUAUUAUAAUGUAUCACCAUACAUUAUACUAAUUCACAAAGUAAAUUUAAACAUUUCAAAUUAGAACCAAUAUAAAUAAAUCUAAUUACUCUUCACAAGCUAGGAAGGAGACCCAAUGGACCUACAGAUCAGAAGCUACAAUGAUAUGAGAUUAAUUGGCUAAACUCAUUAACCACAUUAAUCAAUAUCUAUUAACUGUUUAUACACUCCAUAAAGACUCACAGUUGAACUUUUCUCAUUUUACAUAUAAAUAUUUAUAUGUCCAUGAAUAUAGAUCAAUAACACUAAGUUAGUCCUUCACGAGUGUCUGUAACACCAGCUGAGUCAAUUUACCGUUUUAACCAUUGGUUACCUUUAGUCCUUAAAUAAUAUUGCUCCUCUAAUUAACAACUUGUUUAUGGUCCAACCAAUAAACAGAAACCUCUUUCGCAUCAUAGAGAGGGCAAGACCCUUUGUUGAAGUCCCAGAGACAUUAUUUAAGAGAACACUCAUCUACUUACUCUAAAGUAGGAAAAUAAUGAAUUUCAUCUUGUGCAAUUAUGUUAUGAACUCUCUACUCGAUCUUAUCUCCAAAAUGAUAAGCAUAUUGAGUCGGCGAUCUAGCUACUCUCACCCGUAAAAAUCAAAGGACAAUCUCUCGAAAACAGGAGUUCAUAACACACUCAGAAUUAAGACUAAGUUACCUAAAUCAUCCUAGAGAGAAAUAGAAACUUAACUAGUUAACAGAGUUAUAUUUAUUGGUUACUAUUUCGUGGUCUGAUCUUAUGCAAACUCAUUGCAUAGGAUACUCUCACUCGCAUUUCACCUACACGAACACGUUGGAUCAUUGUAUCAAAUACAAAGUAAGUUGUAUCCACAAUGAUACCCGGAUAAGGUACCGAGCCUUAUCCUUAUAUUAUAGACCCUUUAAGCUAAUCUUGAACAUAGAUCCCUGUAUGUCUCAACAUACUGUUCAAGACUCUCAUCAAACAACUUAAGAUGUUAGUUAUUGGAUUUGGGUUAUUAAGACAAAAUUAAAAGUAUAAUCAAUAAUAUUUGUUGAAAUUAUAAUAAUAACACUUUAUUAAUAACGAUCAAUCGAUUAUAUUUAAUCUACGAGUUUUAGGACAUAAAUCUCAACAAACUCUCACUUUGACUAAAACUCUAGUCUCUAUGGGAUGUAUAUAAUAAAGUAAUCCUCAAACAUUGGAAAUGGUAAAAUGUACAAGUAUAUUACAUAAAACGCACAUAUACAAAUAUAAUAAACUAGGCAUCCUCAUACGCAUUACACAUCUUCCACUUUUCCUAGAUUACCUAAUGUACAUAUCUCGCAGACAUAGACUUUCUAGAUGACCCUUGAACACAUUAGCCAUGAGAGUCUUUGUAAAUAGAUCAGCAAUAUGCCCCACUGUUAUCACAAUAUAAAGUGAUGGGCAUGUUCAUGUUUGGAACAACUUCUGAGCUAAUCUGUUUCUUUUGUUGCUUCGCUAUAGAGUUUGUAGAGUUCAAGUUUGGAACAACUUUUGGAACAACGUACUCAGCCUCCACAGUAGAGUUUGUAAUGCAUUCUUGCUUGAUGUUACACCAUACCACAACUCCCUCAUUAGAGUGAACACUGAUCCCGACGUGAAUUUCCUAGAAUCCUUAUCGGUUUAGAAAUCAGAGUCAGUGUAUCCUAUAAGGAUAAAAUCCUUAGCUCCAUACACAAGCAUGUAAUCUCCCGUUCUCCUUAGAUACUUAAGAAUAAUAUUAACCGUAGUCCAGUAGUCUAACCCUAGGUUGGACUGAUAUCUACUGACUUCCAGUGCAAAAUAAAUGUCUAGCCUAGUGCAGAGCAUAACACACAUUAAGCUCCCUAUAGCUAAGGCAUAAGGAAUGUCUCAUAUCCUUAACUUCUUGAGUUGUCUUAGGACAUUGUUUCUUAAACAAAUGAGCCCCGUGCUUGAAAUGUAAUAAACCCUUCUUAGAGUCCUACAUCGAAUAUCGAACCAACAUUUUAUCGAUAUAGAUUACUUAAGAUAUUGCUAGCGUUUUGUUCUUGGGAUUCAACUUACGAUCCCUUAUGAUUUGGACCCCAAGAACAUAUUAUGCCUCUUCCAAAUAUUUUAUUUGGGACUAAGUUGCUAGCCAAGUUUUAACGUUAAUUAGGUAUCCUACAUCAUUUUCAAUGAUAAGGAUAUCGUCCACAUAAAGUACUAAGAAAGCUACUUUACCUUGUUGAUUUUCUUGUAUACACAAGGUUCGUCAACGUUUUGGUCAAAACCAUAAGAUUUGAUUGCAGUAUCAAAUCUAAUAUUCCAAGAUCUAGAUGAUUGUUUCAAACCAUAAAUGGAUCGCUUCAACUUGCAAACUUUUUGCUCCUAACCAUGGGCUAUGAACCCCUCAGGUUGAGAAGUAAAGAUACUUUCUUCAAGAUUGUCAUUCAGAAAAAGCAGUCUUGACAUUCAUUUUCAUAAAAAGUGGCUAUGGACAAAAAAAUCCUUAGACUUUCACAUAGAAACAAGGGAAAAAGUUUUCUCAUAGCCAAUCCCUUCCCUUUAUAUAUACCAUUUUGCUACAAGUCUAGCUUUGUAGGUUUGUACCUUCCUAACUGAAUCUCUCUUUCUCUUAUAAAUCCAUUUGCACCCUAUAGGUUUCACCCCUUCAGAUAGAUCUACAAGCUCUCACACUGAAUUGAAGUACAUGGACUUCAUUUCAAGGCCCAUGACUUUGACCCAUUAGUUCUUGUCUACACUAUUCAUUGUCUGUUUAUAGGACAAUAGAUCGUGAACGCCAUCAUUUGGUAUGCCAACUUGAGUUUCAGUUAAACCCAACGGUUAGGUUGUGAUACAAUCCUCCCACUGCGUCAAGGCAUUCUCAAGGAUUGAGAAGGAUGAGACUGACCUUAUGUGUUGGUUUCAUCAACUCUUGAUGAGGGACCAACUUCAUCAACAACCCUUGUUGAUUCAUCAGUAGCUUCAUUUAAUACUAAUUUGCUUCGCGGUUUAUGCUCUCUCAUGUGGUCUUUUUUCAAGAAAGUAACAUUUAUCGAUACAAAUACUCUGUUUUCUUAUGGAUUGAAGAAUAAACCACCUCUCAUUUCUUUAUUGCAUAACCUUGAACAGGAUUCCAACUUUUUGUGAUUUGUCACUAACACGUGUGUUGGACAACCCAAAAAAUUCUGAAGUAACUUAAACUAGGUUUACGUUCUCUUCAUAACUAGAAAGGUGUUUUAGAAACACUCUUUAAGGGAACAUUGUUCAAGAUAUCAAUUGCAGUCGCUACUGCAUGCCUCUAAAACGAGCUAGGCAAUUGAGCAUAGCUCAUUGAACGAACCAUGUCUAACAAUGUUCUAUUUCUCCUUUUUGAUACACUAUUUUGUUGAGGUGUAACAGGUGCUGAGAGUUAGGAUUGGAUUUCAUGUUCUAUCAUAUAGUCCUAGAAUCUCAAAUCCAUGUACUCUCCACCUCGAUCAAAUUGAAGUAUUUUAAAUCUUUUUACUUAACAAAUUUUCAACUUCAACCUUAUACUCCUUGAACUUUUCAAGAGUUUUAGACUUAUGCCCCCAUUAAAUAUAAAUAACUAUACCUUGAAUAAUCAUCUAUAAAAUAGAUGAAGUAUUCAAAACCUCCUCUAGCUUUUACAUUUAUCGGACCACAGAAGGUCUAAAUGUAUAAGUUCUAGGAACUCUUUGGCUCUAUAACCUUUUUCAGUAAAAGGUCUUUUAGUCAUCUUUCCUUCAAGAAAAAAAUCACUUGGAGGUAAUUAAUCAUCUUCUAACUCAUUUAGAAUUCCAUUCUUUACCAAUCUCUCGAUCCUAUCGAGAUGAAUGUGACCUAGUCUUAAAUGUCAAAGAUAUUAUUGUUAUUAGGAGAAAUUGUUUGUCUUUUAUGUGAGUAUUAGCAGUUUUAAACAUCUCAUGAUUUAAAAUUGCUUUCGCUUCGUUAGAUCUUAAUACAUACAAGUUGUCUUCAAGUUUAGCUGACCAAAUAUGUACACCAUUCUUAGAAUUGAAUGCUUCAUUUAAAGAAAAUGUUACAUUAUAUGAUUGUUCAAUAAGAUAAGAAAUAGAUAUAAGAUUUCUUUUAAUCUUAGGAACUAUAUACGAGUUUUCUAAAAACAUGAAUAUAUUUUUGAAAGACAACUUAGCAUCUCUCACUGCACGAGCUGGAAUGACAUCUUUCGUUUCAACCUUGAGUGUCAUCUCAUCCUCCUUGAGCCGCUUAAAGGAACUAGUUUCCUAUAAAGAAGAGAAAACAUGGUUAAUGGCUCUUGAAUCAAUUAUCCAAGCAUUUUGGUUAUUUUUCACUAAACAUGUUUCUAAGACAAGUAAAUCAUAUUUACCUUCUUUUUUAUUCUUCUUAAACAUCUCUUGAGGGAGUACAUGAUCGGUCUCAUAUUUCUUGCUUAGAAGAGAUGAGUUAAUGUGGUCCUUAUCUAACACACCCACUUAAAUCCCUAAAGAGGAGUGCCGAUCUCUUACAUAUAAUAUGUCUUCCUCUUCCUUCCUAAAGAAUAGAAGUUUAGUAACCAUAAAAUAAUUCAUUUAGCACACUCGGUGUACUUGAUCACAUCUCAAGGUCAUCUUCCCAUACAUGUUAUUUUGUUGUCACAAUACUUGAGAACAAUUCAUUUUUCAAUAUCCAAUAAAUUUUCUCUCAUUCCAAUGUUACAAUAUUUUAACUUUAGAAAUCCUAAUAAUUAGUACAUAGAAAACAAAUAAUAAACUGCAUAAAUUCCACUAGAAAAACUUGAGGUAGAGCACUCUUCACACACCAAUAUUUAUCAAAUUCUAAGUUGAGAUCAAACAUCUUCUUCACCUCCCAUAUAUAUAGUAGUUCAAAUCCUUCAACUAUACUCCAUAAUACAUCAUUAACUUUCAUAAUAUAAUUCAAAUAUUUUCACUCAAUAAACCAAUAGAAAAUCAAGUUUCUAUUUUAGAAAUAGGAAAAAAACAGCACAUAAUUAAAUUAAACUAGUUGUCCCACAAAGCUGAGAUCAUAAAUUAAUAUUGCACCCCACCACUCUUCCAUAGUAACUCUUUUCAUGUGAUCUCUAUUCUUGGCUCUUCUCUUCUGCUACCUCAGUCGGUUUCUCUUCUUCAAUUGCUUUCUCUUCUUCCACCUGAGGUUUGGCCUCCGCCUCGACCUCGGCUGCUGGAGACUCCUCAACCUUUGCACUUUCUUCGGCUUCGGGCACCGCUUCUUCUUUUUCUUCUGAUUCAGUUGCCACUACUGUUUCUUCCUUCUUUUCUUGACCCUCUUCAACUUUGGAUUCCUCUACAGGAGCCUCCGUGGAUUCCUCUACCUGCAGGGAUGAAACCAUUACGUACAUAAUUUUACUUAGAAGAACCAAAUUAUUUUCUACUUACUCUCACUUUUCAUAUCACUAUAAUCUCUUUUUCAAUCCUAUAACUUUUAUCAAAGAAACUUUUAGGCUUUAUUCCUUUUCAUUUCUUAUUAAC